AUACGUAGGGGGCGAGCGUUGUCCGGAAUGAUUGGGCGUAAAGGGCGCGUAGGCGGCCCGGUAAGUCUGGGGUGAAAGUCCUGUUUUUAAGAUGGGAAUUGCUUUGGAUACUGUCGGGCUUGAGUGCAGGAGAGGUAAGUGGAAUUCCCAGUGUAGCGGUGAAAUGCGUAGAGAUUGGGAGGAACACCAGUGGCGAAGGCGACUUACUGGACUGUAACUGACGCUGAGGCGCGAAAGUGUGGGGAGCAAACAGGAUUAGAUACCCUGGUAGUCCACACUGUAAACGAUGAAUGCUAGGUGUAGGGGGUAUCGACCCCUUCUGUGCCGCAGUCAACACAAUAAGCAUUCCGCCCGGGGAGUACGGCCGCAAGGUUGAAACUUAAAGGAAUUGACGGGG
This 397-nucleotide ribosomal RNA is filed under the name uncultured bacterium. RNAcentral describes it as "partial 16S ribosomal RNA". It matches the Rfam family "Bacterial small subunit ribosomal RNA", at positions 523 to 918 of the family's 1533-position model. The record is from RNAcentral.